This 67-nucleotide non-coding RNA is filed under the name uncultured Flavobacterium sp. RNAcentral describes it as "S15-Flavobacteria ribosomal protein leader". It matches the Rfam family "S15-Flavobacteria ribosomal protein leader". The record is from RNAcentral. Lineage: Bacteria; Pseudomonadati; Bacteroidota; Flavobacteriia; Flavobacteriales; Flavobacteriaceae.
UACAUUUGCACCCGAAUUGGGAUAGUCCCGGUUCAUACAUAAUAAUCAUUUAAAUAAUAUUGGCAUG